This 253-nucleotide ribosomal RNA is filed under the name uncultured bacterium. Its description in RNAcentral is "partial 16S ribosomal RNA". It matches the Rfam family "Bacterial small subunit ribosomal RNA", at positions 524 to 776 of the family's 1533-position model. The record is from RNAcentral.
UACAGAGGUCCCAAGCGUUGUUCGGAUUUAUUGGGCGUAAAGGGUGCGUAGGCGGCGGAGUAAGUUGGGUGUGAAAUCCCGGGGCUCAACCUCGGAAUGGCAUUCAAUACUGCUUCGCUAGAGUACUGGAGAGGAGGCUGGAAUUUACGGUGUAGCAGUGAAAUGCGUAGAUAUCGUAAGGAAGGCCGGUGGCGAAAGCGAGCCUCUGGACAGUUACUGACGCUGAUGCACGAAGGCCGGGGGAGCAAACGGG